RNAcentral lists this non-coding RNA (774 nucleotides) under Zea mays. The record is from RNAcentral. Lineage: Eukaryota; Viridiplantae; Streptophyta; Magnoliopsida; Poales; Poaceae.
AUAGGGAUCCCUUGAAAAUAUGGGCAUGCGUAAUCUGGAUGGAUGUGCACAUUUCAAGGAGAAAAAAAAGGAGAGAGAGAGAGAGGAGCUGAGGAUAUGUUCGAUGCUGCAACCUGCGGCCGUUUCUGUCAUGGAAGAAAAGCUUUGGAUCCACCAGCUCGUUUCUGUACUUGGACAGUAUAAAUAGCCGAAGGGCACGCAGAGCGUUGCAUCCAAUCCAAGGCCACAGAUUUGUGUGUGUGCAGUGUGCUAGAGAGUGGCGAUAAGAGUCUGUCCAGAUAGCCAAGGAUGACUUGCCUGUGGCUUCUUGGCUUGGCUUGGCUCGGGCAAAACCUUGUGCACGUUUUAUUGCUCGCCUCGUGGCCUCGAUCACAGGCAGUCUCCUUGGCUAGUCCGGGCGGGCCCCUUAUCUGAAACCGAUCCCUGGUUCAUUCAUAUAUCGGUGAGCGUGCGACCGAGGGAAAGCAUAUAUGCGGUGCAGGUGCAGGUGCAGGCGUGACAGCUACUAGCUCUGGGCAGAGGACUGGCCUGGCAUGGCGAUGGAAGCUCUGCUUCGGUAGCCAAGGAUGAGCUGCCUGUGGCCUCCUGCUGCGGACGUUGCGUGGCCCCGCCUCCACCGCGUGCGGUCCCCGCAGGCAGCCUCCUUGGCUAGUCUGAGCGGCUUCCAUCCUCCAUGCUAGGCUCAUCUCCUCUUCAGUUAAUCUGUAAAUGCAGCAGCUUUGCUUUAAAGUCGUGGCACGUCAUCAGAAGCAGUGCAUCACACGUUGUUUAAUU